Molecule: ribosomal RNA, 293 nt
Filed under: uncultured bacterium
Lineage: Bacteria
Description: partial 16S ribosomal RNA
Rfam family: Bacterial small subunit ribosomal RNA
Source: RNAcentral
GUGUCAGCAGCCGCGGUAAUACGUAGGCAGCGAGCGUUGUUCGGAGUUACUGGGCGUAAAGGGUGUGUAGGCGGUCCUCUAAGUUCGGUGUGAAAUCUCCCGGCUCAACUGGGAGGGUGCGCCGGAAACUGGAAGGCUUCGAGUGCGGGAUGGGAGAGUGGAAUUCCUGGUGUAGCGGUGAAAUGCGUAGAUAUCAGGAGGAACACCUGUGGUGUAGACGGCUCUCUGGACCGUAACUGACGCUGAGACACGAAAGCGUGGGUAGCAAACAGGAUUAGAAACCCGCGUAGUCC